AGGAUCAUUAUUGAUAAGUUUUAAUAUCAAAACCCCCCUUUGUUUAUAAUCUACCAUGUUGCUUCCACUGGACAGACCGGCUUUAUUUAUACAAGUUGGUCCUUUAGUUUUGUGUUAUUUUUGGCAUAAACUAGAGAGCUGCCAGUGGAUAGAAUCUAAAUAUGAAAAACUUAUGAAGAAACUUAUAUUGUCUGAUCAUUAUUGUAAGAACAAAAAAAUAAAACUUUCAACAACGGAUCUCUAGGCUCUUGCAUCGAUGAAGAACGCAGUGAAAUGCGAUAAGUAAUGUGAAUUGCAGAAUCUCGUGAAUCAUCGAAUCUUUGAACGCACAUUGCGCCCUAUGGAAGUCUGUAGGGCAUGCCUGUCUGAGCGUCAGCAGCAAAAAUAUCAAAUCUUUUUAAACAAAGAUUUGGAUUUGGUUAAGAGAUGUAAUCCUAUGAACUGGUUACUCUUUGGAAAUUUAAAGGCAGUAUUGAUCAAUCUAACUGUAAACGUGAUAAAACAUUUCGUUUUAUUGUUAGCAAUGACCUUUUUACUCGCCUAUAACCCACUCAUCGUCUUGGGUGACCUCAGAUCAGGUAGGGAUACCCGCUGAACUUAAGCAUAUCAAUAAGCGGAGGAAAAGAAACCAACAGGGAUUGCCUUAGUAACGGCGAGUGAAGCGGCAAAAGCUCAGAUUUGAAAUCUGUUGCCAUAGAGGCAUCCGAAUUGUAAUCUGUAGAGGAGUAUUCGAGUAUGGCUUUGGCUUAAGUUCCUUGGAACAGGGCGUCAUAGAGGGUGAGAACCCCGUUUAUAGCCUUUGUCUUAUGCUUAUGUGAAUCUCUUUCGAUGAGUCGAGUUGUUUGGGAAUGCAGCUCUAAAUGGGUGGUAAAUUCCAUCUAAAGCUAAAUACUGGCAAGAGACCGAUAGCGCACAAGUAGAGUGAUCGAAAGAUGAAAAGAACUCUGAACAGAGAGUUAAAUAGUACGUGAAAUUGUUGAAAGGGAAGCACUUACUACCAGACACACUUGUAGCUGAUCAGCCCCCAUUAUUUUUUCUAGUGGUGGUGCACUCAGUUGCAAGUGGGUCAGCAUUAGUUACUACGGUGGGAAAAAGACUUUGGGAAUGUGGCUUUCUUCUGGAAGUGUUAUAGCCCAUUGUGUAAUGCUACCUGUGGUGACUGAGGACCGCGCUUCGGCAAGGAUGCUGGCAUAAUGGUCAUAAGUGACCCGUCUUGAAACACGGACCAAGGAGUCUAACAUCUAUGCAAGUGUUUGGGUGUAAAAACCCUUGCGCGGAAUGAAAGUGAAUGCAGAUGGGAAGCAGAAAUGCCCCCAUCGACCGAUCCUGAGGUUUUCGGAUGGAUUUGAGUAGGAGCAUAGCUGUUGGGACCCGAAAGAUGGUGAACUAUGCCUGAAUAGG
This 1401-nucleotide ribosomal RNA is filed under the name uncultured Peziza. Its description in RNAcentral is "eukaryotic LSU rRNA". The stretch from base 565 to 1401 matches the Rfam family "Eukaryotic large subunit ribosomal RNA", at positions 1 to 845 of the family's 3401-position model. Lineage: Eukaryota; Fungi; Ascomycota; Pezizomycetes; Pezizales; Pezizaceae. The record is from RNAcentral.